Molecule: long non-coding RNA, 480 nt
Organism: Cercocebus atys (sooty mangabey)
Lineage: Eukaryota; Metazoa; Chordata; Mammalia; Primates; Cercopithecidae
Exons: 3
Source: RefSeq, a predicted model, not a curated record
AAAAGUGAGGCUACCUUUUGCGGAGCUGCGUUGGUAUUUUUCAUCACAGACCAACUAGAGGCUUCCCAGUUCUUAGGCUCGGCAUCUUGACAGACAUCUCUGCAGUUUGGCAAAUCUAUGGGGAAGAAAGCAAAAAAAAAAAAUCAAUGCAGAAGGCUGUUUGGGAGUUUUAACUGCUCUCAUGGACACUUUAGAUUGCUUAACAAGAAAAAGACGUCUGCAGAGAUUUGAGUUGUCUCACAGACAGACCCUGAGACAAAGAUUCAAGGCAAGACCCAUGAUCUUCUUGGUCAACCUCACAGCGGGUUUGUGGCGAUCCUUUUUGGAUAUCUUUCCCCUUGGACAUUCAAGCUCAGCAUCCUCAAAGAGAAAGAAAGUGGGGCCUGUACCCAGCAAGAGUUCUGGGUUGGGUAUCAAGGCUGGAUGUCUACUUCAUAGAAGAGUGAAUUGUGGCAUUCUUUGAGCUGCUGACGAAAGGCG